GAACGCUGGCGGCGUGGCUAAGGCAUGCAAGUCGAACGAGGUGUGUGGAAGGUAACGGAAGCACAUUUAGUGGCGAACGGGUGAGGAAUAGAUAGGUAACGUACCCUGGACUCAGGAAUAGCGGCGGAACUUCGGUUCCUUUGCGAAAGUGCCGGUAAUACCUGAUGACAUCACUGGAUCGCAUGGUCCGGUGAUCAAAGGUCCGCGGGUCUGGGAGCGGCCUAUCUCCUAUCAGCUUGUUGGUGGGGUAACGGCCUACCAAGGCUUCGACAGGUACCAGGCGUGAGAGCGCGAUCUGGCACAUCGGGACUGAGACACUGCCCGGACAUCUACGGAUGGCUGCAGCAACGAAUAUUCCGCAAUGGGCGAAAGCCUGACGGAGCGACGCCGCGUGUAGGAUGAAGCACCUCGGUGUGUAAACUACUGUCAGGGGUUAGGAAGAAAGUGACCAACCCCAAAGGAAGCCUCGGCUAACUCCGUGCCAGCAGCCGCGGUAAUACGGAGGAGGCAAGCGUUGUUCGGAAUUACUGGGCUUAAAGCGUGCGUAGGCGGGAUGGCAGGUGUCGUGUGAAAGCCCUCGGCUCAACCGAGGAAUUGCUCGGCAAACCGUCAUUCUUGAGGCCAGCAGGGGGACCUGGAACUUUGGGUGGAGCGGUGAAAUGCGUAGAUAUCCAAGGGAACGCCGGUGGCGAAAGCGGGGUCCUGGGCUGGUUCUGACGCUGAGGCACGAAAGCGUGGGUAGCAAACAGGAUUAGAUACCCUGGUAGUCC
This 770-nucleotide ribosomal RNA is filed under the name uncultured bacterium. RNAcentral's name for it is "bacterial SSU rRNA". It matches the Rfam family "Bacterial small subunit ribosomal RNA", at positions 31 to 796 of the family's 1533-position model. The record is from RNAcentral.